RNAcentral lists this ribosomal RNA (253 nucleotides) under uncultured bacterium. RNAcentral's name for it is "partial 16S ribosomal RNA". It matches the Rfam family "Bacterial small subunit ribosomal RNA", at positions 524 to 776 of the family's 1533-position model. The record is from RNAcentral.
GACAGAGGGGGCAAGCGUUGCUCGGAAUUACUGGGCGUAAAGGGCGCGUAGGCGGGAUGGCAAGUCGGUCGUGAAAGCCUUCGGCUCAACCGAAGAACGUCGGCCGAUACUGCCGUUCUUGAGGGAUGCAGAGGAGACUGGAAUUCCCGGUGUAGCGGUGAAAUGCGUAGAUAUCUGGAGGAACACCGGUGGCGAAGGCGGCAUCCUGGACCGGUAUUGACACUGAGGCGCGAAAGCCAGGGGAGCAAACGGG